GCGGUUGUCAGUUGUCACGGCUAACUUCUCAAGCACAGAACCACACCACUGAAGUACAGCCAGAGGAGGAACUUACAGCUCUCGAUCUUCAUGGUGCAGACUUGCGUGUCGUGGGGGCUACUCGACCGCGAAACACGUCAUGCAGGAUCAUAGAUCAGAAGUCCUCCUCGUGCU
Long non-coding RNA from Ornithodoros turicata, 174 nucleotides. RefSeq lists it as uncharacterized. Lineage: Eukaryota; Metazoa; Arthropoda; Arachnida; Ixodida; Argasidae. The record is from RefSeq and is a predicted model, not a curated record. The transcript has 3 exons.